This is a long non-coding RNA of Tripterygium wilfordii, 217 nucleotides long. RefSeq lists it as uncharacterized. Lineage: Eukaryota; Viridiplantae; Streptophyta; Magnoliopsida; Celastrales; Celastraceae. The record is from RefSeq and is a predicted model, not a curated record. The transcript has 3 exons.
CAAACCCUAAACCCCAUUUUCUCUCAAAUUUCCUCCCUCCCAUCAAUCUAAGAUCAUCAAUCAAGGUUUGAACCCAAACUCAAACCCAUGGAUUCCUACAUCAUUUAAGGCCUAAAGGAAGCUUAAAUCCCUUCUCUCUACUUGUUUCUACAACCUUGAUCCUAUUGUCGAUUGGAGUAGUAAGCUUGAGUAGGUGAAGUUCAAGAAUUUGGGAAGU